RNAcentral lists this long non-coding RNA (635 nucleotides) under Equus caballus (horse). Its description in RNAcentral is "lncRNA (ENSECAG00000049490.1)". The record is from RNAcentral. Lineage: Eukaryota; Metazoa; Chordata; Mammalia; Perissodactyla; Equidae.
CUGGAUUCUAACGCCUGCACUGGGUUUCUCCCUGGGGCCUGGCCUUUCCUUCCCAGAGCCCAGUUUCCCCUCCGUCUGAUGGACACUGGACCUGCCCGCCCGCCUCUCGGGGUUUGCUGUCAGAGUUCGAAGAGACGCUGGAUGUGACCAGUAUGUAAGGCUUUCAGAUGGUGUCAUGUACGCACAGUUCUGCAGCUGGCUUUUUCCACCUGACGAUUCUUUCACUCCUUGUCCACCUGCUCAUUCAAGGGUCAGGUAAAAAGCCACCUACUUGGGCCAAGAGCCUCCCAAAGCACCCCUCCUGGAUGCCCACAACUUCCUGCCUUGCUGCUGAGUUAUCAGUGGGUGCAGGAGUAGGCAGAGGGCCAGAGAGUACGGACCUCAAUGUCAUCACCCAAGAGGCCGACCAUCCGGGCGUGGGACAGCUCAGCAUGGCACCCACAAGGCUGGCUCCUCCUGCCUGCUGAGCUCACGCCUGCUCUGCACAUCCCUUCUGCUGGCCAAGCCUCCCUGUGGCCCUGCUUUACUGAAACCCAGGGAAGGGUGACUUCUAAGCCAAACCCCUCUUCUGCCCAGGCCGUAAUUUCCUAAUUAGGCACCACAGUCACCACCCCAUCGCACGCACUGAUUGCUUC